Molecule: small nuclear RNA, 161 nt
Filed under: Zalophus californianus (California sea lion)
Lineage: Eukaryota; Metazoa; Chordata; Mammalia; Carnivora; Otariidae
Description: U1 spliceosomal RNA (ENSZCAG00015006445.1)
Rfam family: U1 spliceosomal RNA
About the family: U1 is a small nuclear RNA (snRNA) component of the spliceosome (involved in pre-mRNA splicing). Its 5' end forms complementary base pairs with the 5' splice junction, thus defining the 5' donor site of an intron.
Source: RNAcentral
ACACUUACCUGUCAGGGGAGAUGCUGUGAUCACGAAACUGGUUUCCAAGGGUGAGGCUUCUCCGUGGCCUCCGGAUGAGGGCAGCCCUGCAAUUUCCGCAAGUGCGGGAAACUCGACUGCAUCAUUUGUGGUGGGGGGCAGUGCACUCCAGCUUCCCCCCA